AGUUAUUGUCUGGGGCCUGUUUGUCUUGAAAACAAACUUAAAGUGUUCGAUUCACUUAGUAACUU
RNAcentral lists this transfer RNA (65 nucleotides) under Mitrella albuginosa. RNAcentral describes it as "tRNA-Ser". Lineage: Eukaryota; Metazoa; Mollusca; Gastropoda; Neogastropoda; Columbellidae. The record is from RNAcentral.